Molecule: ribosomal RNA, 301 nt
Filed under: uncultured bacterium
Lineage: Bacteria
Description: bacterial SSU rRNA
Rfam family: Bacterial small subunit ribosomal RNA
Source: RNAcentral
AACGAACGCUGGCGGCGUGGAUAAGACAUGCAAGUCGAACGGGACUAAAUCUGUAGCAAUACAGGUUUAGUUUAGUGGCGAACGGGUGCGUAACACGUGGGCAAUCUGCCGAGAAGUGGGGGAGUAGCUCGCCGAAAGGACGAAUUAAUACCGCAUAUGAUCAGCUAAGAACAUCUUAGCGACAUCAAAGACCGGGGUAACCGUGGCGCUUCUUGAUGAGCCCGCCGGCCUAUCAGCUAGUUGGUGAGGUAACGGCUCACCAAGGCUAUGACGGGUAGCUGGUCUGAGAGGACGACCAGUC